GCAGUAGGGUGCCAUCAAGA
Molecule: ribosomal RNA, 20 nt
Filed under: Enterocytozoon bieneusi
Lineage: Eukaryota; Fungi; Microsporidia; Enterocytozoonidae
Description: partial large subunit ribosomal RNA
Source: RNAcentral